Molecule: ribosomal RNA, 468 nt
Filed under: uncultured bacterium
Lineage: Bacteria
Description: partial 16S ribosomal RNA
Rfam family: Bacterial small subunit ribosomal RNA
Source: RNAcentral
GACGAACGCUGGCGGCGCGCCUAACACAUGCAAGUCGAACGGAGCUGAGAGAAGCUUGCUUUUCUUAGCUUAGUGGCGAACGGGUGAGUAACGCGUGAGUAACCUGCCCUGGAGUGGGGGACAACAGUUGGAAACGACUGCUAAUACCGCAUAAGCCCACGAUCCGGCAUCGGAUUGAGGGAAAAGGAUUUAUUCGCUUCAGGAUGGACUCGCGUCCAAUUAGCUAGUUGGUGAGGUAACGGCCCACCAAGGCGACGAUUGGUAGCCGGACUGAGAGGUUGAACGGCCACAUUGGGACUGAGACACGGCCCAGACUCCUACGGGAAGCAGCAGUGGGGGAUAUUGCACAAUGGGGGAAACCCUGAUGCAGCGACGCCGCGUGGAGGAAGAAGGUUUUCGGAUUGUAAACUCCUGUCGUUAGGGACGAUAAUGGCGGUACCUAACAAGAAAGCACCGGCUAACUACGUG